This 497-nucleotide ribosomal RNA is filed under the name uncultured bacterium. RNAcentral's name for it is "partial 16S ribosomal RNA". It matches the Rfam family "Bacterial small subunit ribosomal RNA", at positions 28 to 507 of the family's 1533-position model. The record is from RNAcentral.
GAUGAACGCUGGCGGCGUGCCUAAUACAUGCAAGUCGAGCGAACAGAUGAGGAGCUUGCUCCUCUGACGUUAGCGGCGGAAGGGUGAGUAACACGUGGAUAACCUACCUAUAAGACUGGGAUAACUUCGGGAAACCGGAGCUAAUACCGGAUAAUAUAUUGAACCGCAUGGUUCAAUAGUGAAAGACGGUUUUGCUGUCACUUAUAGAUGGAUCCGCGCCGCAUUAGCUAGUUGGUAAGGUAACGGCUUACCAAGGCAACGAUGCGUAGCCGACCUGAGAGGGUGAUCGGCCACACUGGAACUGAGACACGGUCCAGACUCCUACGGGAGGCAGCAGUAGGGAAUCUUCCGCAAUGGGCGAAAGCCUGACGGAGCAACGCCGCGUGAGUGAUGAAGGUCUUCGGAUCGUAAAACUCUGUUAUUAGGGAAGAACAAAUGUGUAAGUAACUAUGCACGUCUUGACGGUACCUAAUCAGAAAGCCACGGCUAACUACGUG